Molecule: long non-coding RNA, 1699 nt
Organism: Oncorhynchus keta (chum salmon)
Lineage: Eukaryota; Metazoa; Chordata; Actinopteri; Salmoniformes; Salmonidae
Exons: 3
Source: RefSeq, a predicted model, not a curated record
UACAUGUUAGAGUACUUAAUACAUACCAAUACAUCUGCUGGAGAGGUUAGGUCAUACAUGUUACAGUACUUAAUACAUACCAAUACAUCUGCUGGAGAGGUUAGGUCAUACAUGUUACAGUACUUAAUACAUACCAAUACAUCUGCUGGAGAGGGUAGGUCAUACAUGUCACAGUACUUAAUACAUACCAAUACAUCUGCUGGAGAGGUUAGGUCAUACAUGUUACAGUACUUAAUACAUACCAAUACAUCUGCUGGAGAGGGUAGGUCAUACAUGUCACAGUACUUAAUACAUAACAAUACGUAACAAUACAUCACAUGACAAUAUAUACAGUGUAUCGGGAAGUAUUCAGACCCCUUGACUUUCCCCGCAUUUCGUUACAGCCUUAUUCUAAAAUGGUUUAAAUGAAAUGUCCUCAUCCAAUCUACACACAAAAUCUAAUACGUUUUUGCAGCACUCCACCAAAUCAGGCCUUUAUGGUAGAGUGGCCAGACGGAAGCCACUCCUCAAUAAAAAGCACAUGACAGCCCGCUUGGAGUUUGUCAAAAGGCACCAACGGGACUCUGACCAUGAGAAACAAGAUUCUCUGGAUCUGACAAAACCAAGAUUGAACUCAUUGGCCUGAAAGCCAAGCGUCACAUCUGGAGGAAACCUGGCACCAUCCCUACGGUGAAGCAUGGUGGUGGCAGCAUCAUGCUGUGGGGAUGUUUUUCAGCGGCAGGGACUGGGAGACUAGUCAGGAUCGAGGCAAAGAUGAACGGAUAAAAGUACAGAGAUCCUUGAUGAAAACCUGCUCCAGGGCACACAGGACCCGAGACUGGGGCGAAGGUUCACUUUCCAACAGGACAAAGAUCCUAAGCACACAGCCAAGACGAAGGCGUGGCAUAGGGAAAAGUCUUUAAAUGUUUUUGAUUGGCCCAGCCAGAGCCUGGACUUGAACCUGAUCGAGCAUCUCUGGAAAGACCUGAAAAAAGCUGUGCAGAGACGCUCCCCAUCCAACCUGACAGAGCUUGAGAGGAUCUGCAGAGAAGAAUGGGAGAAACUCCCCAAAUACAGGUGUGCCAACCUUGUAGCAUCAUACCCAAGAAGACUUGAGGCUGAAAUUGGUCGUCCUCCACCAAACUUUACAGUUGGCACUAUGCAUUCAGGCAGGAAGUGUACUCCUGAUCUUAGGCUUGUGUGCGGCUGCUCAACCAUGGGAACCGAUUUCAUGAAGCUACCGACGAACAGUUCUUGUGCUGACGUUGCUUCCAGAGGCAGUUUGGAACUCUGUAGUGAGUGUUGCAACCGAGGACAGAGUACGUGCUUCAGCACUCGACUGUCAUGUCCUGUGACCUCGUGUGGCCUACCACUUCGCGGCUGAGCCGUUGUUGCUCCUAGAUGUUUCCACUUCACAAAACCAGCCCUUCCAGUUGACCGGGGGGGGGGCAGCUCUAGCAGGGCAGAAAUGUAACUGACUUGUUGGAAAGAUGGCAUCCUAUGACGGUGCCACGUUGAAAGUCACUGAGCUCUUCAGUAAGGGCCAUUCUACUGCCAAUGUUUGUCUAUGGAGAUUGCAUGACUGUUUGUUCAAAUUUAUAUACGCCAGUCAGCAAUGCGUUUAGCUGAAAUUUUUAUUUUUUUAUAUUACCUUUAUUUAACUAGUUAAGAUCAGUUAAGAACAUUCUUAUUUUCAAUGACUGCCUAGGAACAGUGGGUU